RNAcentral lists this unclassified non-coding RNA (362 nucleotides) under soil metagenome. RNAcentral's name for it is "partial contains 5.8S ribosomal RNA, internal transcribed spacer 2, and large subunit ribosomal RNA". The stretch from base 1 to 120 matches the Rfam family "5.8S ribosomal RNA", at positions 35 to 154 of the family's 154-position model. The record is from RNAcentral.
GAUGAAGAACGCAGCGAAAUGCGAUAAGUAAUGUGAAUUGCAGAAUUCAGUGAAUCAUCGAAUCUUUGAACGCACCUUGCGCUCCUUGGUAUUCCGAGGAGCAUGCCUGUUUGAGUGUCAUUAAUAUAUCAACCUUCUCUUUUUUGAGUUGUUUGGAUGUGGGGGUUUGCUGGCCUCUUAAAUGAUUCAGCUCCCCUGAAAUGCAUUAGCAGAACAACCUGUUCAUUAGCGUGAUAAUUAUCUAUGCUAUUGAAUGUGAGGGCAGUUCAGCUUUCUAACCGUCCUUGGACAAUUCAUCAUGAAUGUGACCUCAAAUCAGGUAGGACUACCCGCUGAACUUAAGCAUAUCAAUAAGCGGAGGA